AUGGGCGGAAGCCUGAACCAGCCAAGUAGCGUGCAGGAGGACGGCCCUACGGGUUGUAAACUGCUUUUAUGCGGGGAUAAAGUGAGGGACGUGUCCCUUUUUGCAGGUACCGCAUGAAUAAGGACCGGCUAAUUCCGUGCCAGCAGCCGCGGUAAUACGGAAGGUCCGGGCGUUAUCCGGAUUUAUUGGGUUUAAAGGGAGCGUAGGCCGGGGAUUAAGUGUGUUGUGAAAUGUAGGCGCCCAACGUCUGACUUGCAGCGCAUACUGGUUCCCUUGAGUACGCGCAACGCCGGCGGAAUUCGUCGUGUAGCGGUGAAAUGCUUAGAUAUGACGAAGAACCCCGAUUGCGAAGGCAGCCGGCGGGAGCGCAACUGACGCUGAAGCUCGAAGGUGCGGGUAUCGAACAGGAUUAGAUACCCUGGUAGUCCGCACGGUAAACGAUGGAUGCCCGCUGUCGGCGCCUUGCGCCGGCGGCCAAGCGAAAGCGUUAAGCAUCCCACCUGGGGAGUACGCCGGCAACGGUGAAACUCAAAGGAAUUGACGGGGGCCCGCACAAGCGGAGGAACAUGUGGUUUAAUUCGAUGAUACGCGAGGAACCUUACC
RNAcentral lists this ribosomal RNA (603 nucleotides) under Prevotella denticola. RNAcentral describes it as "bacterial SSU rRNA". It matches the Rfam family "Bacterial small subunit ribosomal RNA", at positions 371 to 975 of the family's 1533-position model. The record is from RNAcentral. Lineage: Bacteria; Pseudomonadati; Bacteroidota; Bacteroidia; Bacteroidales; Prevotellaceae.